CAGCAUGAGCUCCAGAAGUUCCCGGGGAGUUGUCCCCCCCACAGUGAUGUACUGUGGGGUUGCUAGUUUCAACAACUUCACUGCAGAUCAAGCAUUGGAACAAGGUUUACGGCUUGAACAGGCACCCAACGAGAGACAAGUCUACCAUUAAUGCACCAAAGAUCCAGCUGAUUACUGGCAAUUUGGAGGAGGAUUCU
Solea senegalensis (Senegalese sole) is the source of this 197-nucleotide long non-coding RNA. RefSeq lists it as uncharacterized. The transcript has 3 exons. NCBI's taxonomy places the organism in Eukaryota, Metazoa, Chordata, Actinopteri, Pleuronectiformes, Soleidae. The record is from RefSeq and is a predicted model, not a curated record.